AUGCAUAGGAAUCUACCUAGUAGUAUAGGAUAGCCACUAGAAAUGGUGGGUAAUACUGUAUAAUCCCUGCGGGGGAAAGAUUUAUCGCUACAUGAUGAGCCUAUGUUAGAUUAGCUAGUUGGUGGGGUAAUGGCCUACCAAGGCAGUGAUCUAUAGCUGGUCUGAGAGGAUGAUCAGCCACACUGGAACUGAGACACGGUCCAGACUCCUACGGGAGGCAGCAGUGGGGAAUAUUGGACAAUGGGCGCAAGCCUGAUCCAGCUAUGCCGCGUGAGUGAGGAAGGCCUUAGGGUUGUAAAACUCUUUCAGUAGGGAAGAUAAUGACGGUACC
Molecule: ribosomal RNA, 331 nt
Filed under: Anaplasma phagocytophilum
Lineage: Bacteria; Pseudomonadati; Pseudomonadota; Alphaproteobacteria; Rickettsiales; Anaplasmataceae
Description: bacterial SSU rRNA
Rfam family: Bacterial small subunit ribosomal RNA
Source: RNAcentral